CAGGCCUGUGGCACCUGUCUGGCUUGUGUCAAAUCUGCUUCUGAAAGAUGUCUGGGGACUGGCGCUUCCUCGUUCAUCUCCCUGCACUUUUCCAAAGCAAGAGGUGGAGCUAAAAGGAGCCUUUGCUUCCUGCUGCGGAAGGAAUUGCUUCCCCCUGCACUGCUGAAACUGCUGUUUGCUGAGUUCCCUUUGUGCCAGACACUUCCAGAGACUGCAGACUGGAUCAGGCCUUUCGAAGACUCUCCCAUACACCGCUUCCAAGGUUUCAAGGUUCACCAGCUUUUUAGCAAGCCAGCACUCACACCAAUGUUGAUGGAUGAUUUUUCCCUACUUCUUGCUCUUUGUGAAUGAGCUGUUGGCAAGCGCUCCUCACUGCAGCUGCUGCUGCCUUAAUCUCUCUUUAUGGAGAUACGGAGGUUGCCUUUAGUGAGUCCCUGAAGUCCGUUGCUGCGGUGUUGACAAGCUUGGUUCACCGCAUGAACACAGCACAGUCUGCAGAGGCAAGUUCACUGACCUGAUGGUGGAGCUGAUUCCGCUGGGACCCAUGGGGAGCCACUCUCCCCAGCACCUUGCAGCACAUGUCCUGCAGCUGCAGGUUUGGUUGCAGCUGUGUGAGCACCUCCGAGUUAGCUUCAGUUACUGUAUGAACGCUCUGUCUGGGAUAAACCUGCAUUUUGCAUCCCCAUCCUUCAGGAAAAGCCAAAGUGUUUAGGGUGAGAUCUCUUUAAUUCCUGUGCUCUGCUGCUGGCUGCAGGACUUGGGGCUGCUUUGAACUGCAGCCUAGAAAGGAGCCUAGAGGUGGAGGAGAGCCAC
Molecule: long non-coding RNA, 813 nt
Organism: Oxyura jamaicensis (ruddy duck)
Lineage: Eukaryota; Metazoa; Chordata; Aves; Anseriformes; Anatidae
Exons: 2
Source: RefSeq, a predicted model, not a curated record